This is a long non-coding RNA of Lates calcarifer (barramundi perch), 3869 nucleotides long. RefSeq lists it as uncharacterized. Lineage: Eukaryota; Metazoa; Chordata; Actinopteri; Centropomidae. The transcript has 3 exons. The record is from RefSeq and is a predicted model, not a curated record.
UUCACUUCCUGUUUCUGUUCUUAAAAUCAGUGGGUGGAGCUCCGCUUUAUUUUCUCCCUCACAUGUUAAAACACAUUAACAGAGACACAAACCUGAGGAAAGAAUAUCCCUGAGAUAAAUAUUGAUUUCAUGAAUAUAUUUGGAAAACAGCUCAAUGACGAAUACAUUUUCUCUCUGAGAGUAAACAUUUGUCUUAACCUGCCUCUGUGAAGCUGUGAUCAUUUGAACCUGCUCGCUCUCCUGUAAAAUAUUUUACGAUCAAACGGGGAAAUUACAAACGCAGAUUUUUCUCCUGCGCAGAGGAACAGUUGAACUCUCACUGCUGAAAUAAAUCACUGCUGAACACGAGCGGCUUUUUCUGUGACAGAUAGAAACACAGAAAGAGAAAAGUUGUGACAGCAGGAGGCCGUUCAUCCCCCUCCAGGCUCUGUGGGUGGAGGCUCAGAGCUGUCAACAUCUUGUGACAUUUCCUGCCAACGUUUCCUGGUGAAGAGGAAUCCCUAAACUGAACCAACAGAUCUGAGCGCCCGUCUCAACCGUACCAGCUGAGUCUUGAUUUAGUCAGACGAUGAUUUCUCUUCCCUGUGCACACUGGAGCCGAUCGUCCUCACUCCCGGAGACCAGACCCAGAGACCAGACCCAGCUCUGACCGGAUCCCGUCUGCUAACAUCAUUAUCUGGUCGUUGUACAGUUUUCAGACCCUCAGCACCUCCUCCCCUCUCCUCUGGAGGAGGCUCGAAGCUGAAACGUCGGUGGAGGUGAAGAGGUUGAUGUUGUGCAGAGGGGGAGGUUUUACCAGAGAGAGGAAGAACAGAGGGAUGGAGGGAAGUGUGGACCCUGAGUCAAACUCCAGUUAUAACAGAAAACCUUUGGUGUGGUCGUGUCACUUCAGAGAUUUAAACAUUAACAUGUCUCAGGCUGCUGCUAAACAACCUGUGAUGAUUAAAACCUCCUGCACACUGAGCCAGUGGUUUCAGCCCAGCUGCUGGUUUUCACUGCUUCUCUGUCUCUAACAUACAACAGUUGUUACAUCGUCUGAACAAGGACGACUCAGUCGACGCAGAUGAAUGAAGACUGAACCGAGGGAGUCGUGUUUCUACUGCCACACAAUCCGUUUCCUCGUUUUAUCGUCUUUAAGCAGAGAGUGAAAAGCUCCAUGAAUAAACUGCCUGUGUGUAAUAACGUGUGUGUUUCGUGAAUCAGCAGUGAUCUGUGUGUUUAUACUGUAAACCUUUAUACGGUUAGAGGUUGGUUUCUUCUUCCAUGUUUCCCCUGGUAACCCAGUGUUUAACGUCACAGCGCUAUGAUCUGUGGGUAAUUCCCUCAGGAAGAAAUGCUGACUGAGAAAGUAAAGAGGACGGUGGGACAGCAGAGUCCUCCUGGACCUGGACCUGUCUCCGGGUGCGUUGAUCCUCCCUGCUCCAUCACCUCAUCAUCUCGACUGGUUCUCCACUCACUCAUCACCUCAUGGUUCAGUCUGCCUGUGUGCUCUGAGCUCUUCCUGGUUCAGUAAACCGUCUUUGUUUAUCACACUCACAGAAAUAACCUGGUGUUUAUUUUGAGAGUGUGACUUUCACUUUUAUCAGCUCAUAUGAACUGACACUUGUUUGGUGUUUUGAUGAAUGUAUUCUGAUUCUGAUUCCCUUCACACAUCUCCACACCUCUGCUGUGGACUUUAACCAACGUGGUCCUGAACAGCUUAUAUAUUAUAUCCUCACACACAGCUGUCUAAAAUCUUUUUUAACAUUAAAAUAUGAGUCCAGCUGAAAUGCUGUGUCUCCAGCUGUCUUCACAUGUUGACUGCAGGUGCCUGUGUCCUGGCUGCUGCUCUGGUUUUCACCAGUAGGUGGCAGCAGAAGUCCUCACACUGCAGAGUGAGCUGUGCAGGAGAGGAAGUCGGGGUGAAAGGCUUCUAUCUCGCUCUGUUAUUGGGGUAAAUAUGAGCAGAAUGUCUCAGGUUUCCAAAGUAAAAUAAGGCUUUUACUGUGAAAAGUCGAUGAAGUGUUAAAGCAGAACUUCAGUGUUAAGUCAGGUAGUAAAACGUGAUGUGUUCAGGUGUUUUCUUCUACUUUCCUUUAGCACUGGGCAGAAUAACAUGACCUCUCAUUACUCAUCUGAAAACAGAGGACAUUCAACAUUUUAACACACAAGGUCAGAGGGGAAGCUCAGCUCUACAACCUCAGCCCUGCUGGAUGCUGACUGACACACACUGUACAAACAUGCUCAUCACUUUGUUUGGGAGGAAUGUGCAGUGAGAGAAUAAGGAGCACAACAUGCAGCUUUUAGUAAAAUAAAGAAAAAGAAGAAAGACAGAACAAACAGACGAAGCUUUGGAGUCGGAUUUACAGAUUUGGGAUUUCCACAGCUGCGGUGAAACCUUCUGUCGUUCGUGAAAUCAAAGUGAAGCGUUAUGUGGCUCAGGUCUCUGUUUACAUCUGAAAGCAGACAUAUUGAACCAGGAUCAGCUUUGUCUCUUGUGUUUUGCUAAAUGAGAUUAGUCUGUGCAUUUAAUCUGCUACUGACUCAUCAAAUCUCAUUUGUUCCCAAACAAGAGGGAAAAAUAAAUCAGCCUGUGUGGUGAGAUAAUCCUGUUUGUUUCAGUCAGUUCAGGAGUUUUCUUCCUCAAAUGCUGUGACAAUAAUCAUAAGAUAAAACAAGAACCCGGAUCAGGAAUCUGCCUGUGAAUCAGUAAAUGUGAAGAUAUCAUGUGUGUUGGUCCAGCAUCGUCUCUGCAGCAGUUGAAUAAAAACAGGAGAUGAAUUUUCUGCGCUGGAGAGCUGACAGCAGCAGAGAGGACAUCACAGCGCUCCAGGUCUGAAAUCUGUUCAGGGGAUCUCCUCUGAUCUGGGACUGGACUCACCAGAGAGUCUCCUUAAAACUUGGAAGCGUCCCUGAAAGUAUUUGGUGAUAGCUGGAAGUGUCUCCUGUCUGGACCAUCUGCCGGUAAAGAAACAUGACGUCUGACAUGAUGUUGUCAAGGUCUCUUUACCACAAAUAAACAUGAAGAAUAUGAGGACAUCUGGUUGAUCAAAUUAAAAUGUGUCCCUCAACUAACAGCACCAUCUGGACCACUGAGCUGUAAACUCGCUAAUUUAUGAUUUUAUUUCUUUUUUUUUUUCACUCCGCUCAAGUGAAUAAAUGCUAAAUCACUGCACAUUAAUUAAACACACGUUGUCACUUUUCCUGUGGCGCUUGGCUAAAGUGAUUCUGAAUGAAACGCAGGAUCAGAUCCUGAUCAAUCACAGAGGACUAUGGAGUGAAAAGAGCAUUAUUCAUGGCCUGGUUCCUUCCUGAGACACGCUCCCUCCUCUUAUUAUUAUCUCAUGUCAAACACAGGCACAACCUUCAAAAGCACAUUUGCUUUUUUUUAUUCUUCUCACUCGCUUUUUUCACCUUUUUUGUCAGGAACACUGAAGCACUGAAAUCUGCAGGAGAAACCACAUUAAUCUAGAUUUUACAGAAACACCUCGUGAACUACUGAAGGAAUAAUUCAGCAUCAGCAGUCUGAAACUUUCUGGACUCGAGACGUAGAUACAGACGAGAGGAAAACUGGGAACUUAAGGGAACAGCAAACCUGGAAACAUAAUCUGCACCUGAGAGGUAAACACCAUCAUUACUAUUCUUACUGUGUAAUGUGAGAUGCAAAUUCUAUUUUCACUCAUUAACAAACAUUAUUGUGACAUUUAGAAGAAAAUAAAACAUAAACAGGAGCACUGCAUCCAGACCAUUUAUUAGAUUUAUUAUCACGUCUCAGUCAAAAUGAGUCUUUACUUACUACCUUUCAAAGUUUCAACCAUCAUCUGAGGAAAAAUGUUUGUUUAAUUGCACAGUGAGAAAAAGGUUGUUGACAAUAAAACUUUAAUUUUAAU